CCCUUAGAUGUUCUGGGCCGCACGCGAGCUACACUGUUCGACGCAGCGAGUCUUAACCUUGACCGAAAGGUUUGGGUAAUCUUCAGCAAAGUCGAACGUGAUGGGGAUCGAUCAUUGCAAUUAUUGAUCGUGAACGAGGAAUUCCUAGUAAGUGCAAGUCAUCAGCUUGCGCUGAUUACGUCCCUGCCCUUUGUACACACCGCCCGUCGCUACUACCGAUUGAAUGGUUUAGUGAGAUCUCUGGAUUGACGCUGGCUAGGGGGCGACCCUUGGCCAGACUGUUGAGAAACUGCUCAAACUUGAUCAUUUAGAGGAAGUAAAAGUCGUAACA
This 331-nucleotide ribosomal RNA is filed under the name uncultured eukaryote. Its description in RNAcentral is "partial 18S ribosomal RNA". It matches the Rfam family "Eukaryotic small subunit ribosomal RNA", at positions 1470 to 1796 of the family's 1831-position model. The record is from RNAcentral.